RNAcentral lists this ribosomal RNA (1779 nucleotides) under Triticum aestivum (bread wheat). Its description in RNAcentral is "partial small subunit ribosomal RNA". Lineage: Eukaryota; Viridiplantae; Streptophyta; Magnoliopsida; Poales; Poaceae. The record is from RNAcentral.
AUGUCGGGCCUCCGUCUCCGCCCCCGCCGCUCGUCAUCUUCUACCUUUCCGAUGCCCCGCUCCCGCCUCCGUCACUACGCCUCCGCCAUGCCGAUGUCCAGCCUCCGUCCCCUCCACCGCAGCUCCUCCUCCACCACGUCGCCUGCACGCGCCUGGUCCCCCCAUGCCGCCUUCGCCGCGGCCACGGAGCGUGUCCGCGCCGGGGCGCUCAGGCCGGAAGACGCACACACCCUGUUCGACGAAUUGCUUCGGCAGGCCACACCGGUCCCCGAGCGAUCCCUCAACGGCUUCCUUGCCGCCCUCGCCCGUGCGCCCGCCUCCGGAAACUGCAUCAGAGAUGGCCCCGCCCUUGCAGUGGUUCUCUUCAACCGUGUGUGCAGAGAGGAAGCCGGCCCGCAGGUGGCGGCGCUCACAGGCUGCACCUACAGCAUCCUCAUGGACUGCUACUGCCGCGCCCGUCGCCCGGACCUAGGGCUUGCCUUAUUUGGCCGCUUCCUCAGGGAAGGCCUGAAGACACACCAGAUCGUCGCCAACACCUUCCUCAAGUGCCUCUGCUAUGCGAAAUUGACGGAUGAGGCAGUGGACGUGCUGCUUCAUAGGAUGUCCGAGUUCGGGUGUGUGCCUGAUGCCAUCUCAUACAACACUGUCCUGAAGAGCUUAUGCGACAAUGGCAUGAGCCAGCGGGGGCUCGAACUGCUCCAGAUGAUUGCAAAAGAAGUAGGUGUCUGCUCUCUCAAUCUGGUGGCAUAUAACACGGUCAUCUACGGCUUCUUUAAGGAAGGUGAAACAGGCAAGGCAUGCAAUCUAUUCCAUGAAAUGAUGCAGCAAGGUGUUGAGCCCGAUGUGGUGACUUACAACUUGAUCAUUGAUGCUUUGUGCAAGGCCAGAGCAAUGGACAAGGCAGAAGUAGUCCUUCAGCAGAUGAUCAGUAAAGGUGCUCAACCUGAUACAGUGACAUAUAAUUGCAUGAUCAAUGGAUAUGCCACAUCUGGGCGGUUGAAAAAAUCUGCUAAAAUGUUCAGAGAAAUGAAAAGCCGGGGUCUUAUGCCAGAUAUUGUUACUUGCAACUCCUUCCUGUCCUCCCUUUGCAAGCAUGGAAGAAGCAAAGAAGCUAGAGAAAUAUUUGAUUCCAUGACCGCCAAGGGCCACAAACCGGAUAUCGUCUCAUACCGUAUUUUGCUUCAUGGGUAUGCCAGUGAAGGAUGCUUUGCUGAUAUGAUUGAUCUCUUUAAUUCAAUGAAAAGCAAUGGUAUUGCAGCUGACUGCCGUGUUUUCACCAUAUUAAUUGGUGCCUAUGCUAAACACGGAAUGAUGGAUGAUGCAAUGCUCAUAUUUACGGAAAUGCAGCAACAAGGUCUGAGUCCAAAUGUAGUGACAUAUUCAACUGUAAUAUCAGCACUUUCUAGAAUGGGUAGGUUGGCCAAUGCUAUGGAGAAAUUUAAUCAGAUGAUUUCCAUGGGGGUUCAACCGAACAAAGCUGUUUAUCACACCCUAAUUCAGGGCUCUUGUAUGCAUGGUGAUUUGAUUAAAGCCAAGGAGCUGGUUUCUGAAAUGAUGAACAAAGGUAUUCCUCAUCCUAGCAUUACGUUCUUCGGUUCAAUAAUAAACAGUUUAUGCAAAGAUGGAAGGGUUAUGGAUGCACAUGAUAUCUUUGACUUGGUUAUAGACAUAGGUGAGAGGCCUAGUGCCAUUACAUUUAAUUCACUGGUUGACGGAUAUUGCUUAGUUGGCAAGAUGGAUAAAGCAUUUGGAAUGCUUAAUGCCAUGGAAUCACUGGUA